This 441-nucleotide non-coding RNA is filed under the name Cryptosporidium parvum. The record is from RNAcentral. Lineage: Eukaryota; Apicomplexa; Conoidasida; Eucoccidiorida; Cryptosporidiidae.
GUGAGAAUUGUUGAUUUAAUUUUAAAUCAGAAAAUUCAUUUCCAGAAUAAUUUGAAUGAUUAGUUUUUAUUAGAAUAUCUUUCCAAUGAAUUUCAGUCCAUCCUAAAUGUUGUGCCAUUGAUGAUUUAUUUUUUCUCCACACAUCAAUAACAAUCGGACCUUUUCUUUCUAAAAGUUUGGCUAAAGAAUGAGCGUCAAGUUCGUUAGGCUUUUUUUCAUGAUCAAUAUAAUCCAAUAUAAAUGUAAGUUCAGUUUGAAAGAGUGGAUGUAAUGUACCAGAAACUACAGGCGUUUCUUUUCGAUUACCAUCAAAGCUUAACUGAACAUAAACAUCCAUAGAAUCAUCAUUUUCAGUAUCUUGAAGAAUAUUGUUGACUUCAUAAAUGUUCAAGAUUAAAUUAUCAAUUCGAAUAAUUUUGAUUAUAAGAUAUAAUUUAUUUU